RNAcentral lists this ribosomal RNA (301 nucleotides) under uncultured bacterium. Its description in RNAcentral is "partial 16S ribosomal RNA". It matches the Rfam family "Bacterial small subunit ribosomal RNA", at positions 509 to 807 of the family's 1533-position model. The record is from RNAcentral.
CAGCAGCCACGGGAAUACGUAGGGUGCAAGCGUUAAUCGGAAUUACUGGGCGUAAAGCGUGCGCAGGCGGUUUGUUAAGACAGAUGUGAAAUCCCCGGGCUCAACCUGGGAACUGCAUUUGUGACUGGCAAGCUAGAGUCUGGCAGAGGGGGGUGGAAUUCCGCGUGUAGCAGUGAAAUGCGUAGAUAUGCGGAGGAACACCGAUGGCGAAGGCAGCCCCCUGGGCCAACACUGACGCUCAUGCACGAAAGCGUGGGGAGCAAACAGGAUUAGAUACCCCUGUAGUCCCUGUCUCUUAUAC